This 88-nucleotide transfer RNA is filed under the name Bacillota bacterium. Its description in RNAcentral is "Firmicutes bacterium (subsurface metagenome) tRNA-Leu". It matches the Rfam family "tRNA". From Rfam's summary of the family: Transfer RNA (tRNA) molecules are approximately 80 nucleotides in length. Their secondary structure includes four short double-helical elements and three loops (D, anti-codon, and T loops). Further hydrogen bonds mediate the characteristic L-shaped molecular structure. tRNAs have two regions of fundamental functional importance: the anti-codon, which is responsible for specific mRNA codon recognition, and the 3' end, to which the tRNAs corresponding amino acid is attached (by aminoacyl-tRNA synthetases). tRNAs cope with the degeneracy of the genetic code in two manners: having more than one tRNA (with a specific anti-codon) for a particular amino acid; and 'wobble' base-pairing, i.e. permitting non-standard base-pairing at the 3rd anti-codon position. Lineage: Bacteria; Bacillati; Bacillota. The record is from RNAcentral.
GCCGAAGUGGUGGAAUUGGCAGACGCGCUAGAUUCAGGGUCUAGUGAGCGUUACGCUCGUGCAGGUUCAAGUCCUGUCUUCGGCACCA